Molecule: ribosomal RNA, 530 nt
Filed under: uncultured bacterium
Lineage: Bacteria
Description: bacterial SSU rRNA
Rfam family: Bacterial small subunit ribosomal RNA
Source: RNAcentral
AAUAGAUACCCUGGUAGUCCACGCCGUAAACGAUGAGUGCUAAGUGUUAGGGGGUUUCCGCCCCUUAGUGCUGCAGCUAACGCAUUAAGCACUCCGCCUGGGGAGUACGGUCGCAAGACUGAAACUCAAAGGAAUUGACGGGGGCCCGCACAAGCGGUGGAGCAUGUGGUUUAAUUCGAAGCAACGCGAAGAACCUUACCAGGUCUUGACAUCCCGCUGACCGCUAUGGAGACAUAGCUUUCCCUUCGGGGACAGCGGUGACAGGUGGUGCAUGGUCGUCGUCAGCUCGUGUCGUGAGAUGUUGGGUUAAGUCCCGCAACGAGCGCAACCCUUGUUCUUAGUUGCCAUCAUUAAGUUGGGCACUCUAAGGAGACUGCCGGUGAUAAACCGGAGGAAGGUGGGGAUGACGUCAAAUCAUCAUGCCCCUUAUGACCUGGGCUACACACGUGCUACAAUGGACGGUACAAACGGUUGCGAAGUCGCGAGACGGAGCCAAUCCGGAGAAAACCGUUCUCAGUUCGGAUUGUAGG